AUUGAACGCUGGCGGCAUGCCUUACACAUGCAAGUCGAACGGUAACGCGGGGCAACCUGGCGACGAGUGGCGAACGGGUGAGUAAAGCAUCGGAACGUGCCCAGUAGUGGGGGAUAGCCCGGCGAAAGCCGGAUUAAUACCGCAUACGACCUAAGGGUGAAAGGGGGGGAUCGCAAGACCUCCCGCUAUUGGAGCGGCCGAUGUCAGAUUAGCUAGUUGGUGGGGUAAAGGCCUACCAAGGCAACGAUCUGUAGUUGGUCUGAGAGGACGACCAGCCACACUGGGACUGAGACACGGCCCAGACUCCUACGGGAGGCAGCAGUGGGGAAUUUUGGACAAUGGGCGCAAGCCUGAUCCAGCAAUGCCGCGUGCAGGAAGAAGGCCUUCGGGUUGUAAACUGCUUUUGUCAGGGAAGAAAUCUUCUGGGUUAAUACCUCGGGAGGAUGACGGUACCUGAAGAAUAAGCACCGGCUAACUACGUGCCAGCCGCCGCCGUAA
This 498-nucleotide ribosomal RNA is filed under the name uncultured bacterium. Its description in RNAcentral is "partial 16S ribosomal RNA". It matches the Rfam family "Bacterial small subunit ribosomal RNA", at positions 29 to 523 of the family's 1533-position model. The record is from RNAcentral.